Molecule: long non-coding RNA, 1085 nt
Organism: Chenopodium quinoa (quinoa)
Lineage: Eukaryota; Viridiplantae; Streptophyta; Magnoliopsida; Caryophyllales; Amaranthaceae
Exons: 2
Source: RefSeq, a predicted model, not a curated record
UUUGCCAUUAUCCUGAAUUCCGAUUAGUAAGAAUAAAAGUGACGUUAUUGGUUAGAGUAUCCUUAAAUCAACUACUCCAAAGUCAACUACCCCGACAAUCCAACUCAGAAGCUAACUAUUCUGUCUUUCAAAUCAACCACCCUUCAUUCUUAAACUACUCCUUCAAAUUCCAUCAAAAUCAAAUACUCAAAUAUGGCGAUGCCUUGGAGUAUGACGUUCUGGAUAUCAAAGAUGAUAUGGUUGGCACUUGCUGGUUGGAUUUCUUCUUGUUUAAUCGUUGCCGAUGAAAUUGCCAGCUCUAUUCGUACUGGUGAUAUUGGUGCCUUUCAUGUCGGUUGAUUUCUUCCCUUUUUAUAAUAAUUUUUGAAUGAAAGAGCAUCGUAAGCUGCCAGAAUCUGUCUUGGAUUCUUGGGUGCUUGGAGGUGAUCUCGUGUUAUUCUGUAUAUUCUGUUCCUAGAACUUUGGUCCAUAGCAGCAAGAAUUGUUUUGAGUACUUCUUGAGCAUUAGGAUUAUCUGGUACUGAGGCCAUGUAUCGGUGAUUCCAGUGGCAGUGACAUGCUUCUGCUAUCCUUAUGUCAGAUUGCUAGGAUAAAGUAGCAUUCCCAACUCCCAAGCCCCCAAUGCCCAGGCCAAGUCAAAGGCGAGCCCUGAGGUUGCUGUGGUUUAGGCCAAGCAGCUCAUUCUCACUGCUUCCAUUUUCAGAGAUGCACGUGAGCAUAUAGGCCUAUGAAGCAAUUUAGGUUAAUUUUUUUUUUUAACUGAUACACGAGGUUUCUUAUGAGAAGUUCAAUGGGCUGCUCAGUCAACUCCGACGUUCUCAAGGCAUGGUGCUGCCCUUACUUUGGAUGAGAUCGUUUCUCUGAUAUUGUUGUAUGGAUCAUUGUGCAAAUAUUAGGAAAAUAUGGAAUUAGAUGUGGCUAUGUUUCAUGAAAUUUUUGAAUGAACAUGUAAUUUCUGUGUGAUCAAUGUGUCUAACUUUGUAUCUGAUUGAGGCAUCCUGUAAUGUUUUCAGAACAUUUUUGCAGGAAGCAUUAGUCUUCCACCACAUUUGUAAUCCCUACAAAGAAAAUGAGGAUUUUGUAUA